CCAAUGGCGGCGUCUGUGAUAAACGCAUUUUCCAUUCUCCCAUAUUCCUUCUGCAUAAACGCAUUGGAAACCACCUCCCCCAAAUGCAGCUCGCAACAACCCCAACAAAAUCAACUCAAAGUAUUUUAACAAUUAAGGUGUAAUAAUAAAAAUAAUAAAAUGAAAAAAGUAUACCAAAUACCUUCAGGAAAUCCAACUUGAGGCCAGAGUGUGGCGCAUCGCAGACCGGAGGGAGGGGCGGCGGCUCCUAACUCCUAAAAUUAUGAGUAAAACCUUGUAGAGGAGUGUCUGUCGCUUUCAUCAAUGCAAUUGCAACCCUCAUUAUUCAAAAUCCCACAACUAUUCACUCAAAAAAUAGCA
This 360-nucleotide long non-coding RNA is filed under the name Salvia miltiorrhiza (redroot sage). RNAcentral describes it as "long non-coding RNA (SMIL_LNC004936)". Lineage: Eukaryota; Viridiplantae; Streptophyta; Magnoliopsida; Lamiales; Lamiaceae. The record is from RNAcentral.